This is a long non-coding RNA of Culex pipiens pallens (northern house mosquito), 3119 nucleotides long. RefSeq lists it as uncharacterized. Lineage: Eukaryota; Metazoa; Arthropoda; Insecta; Diptera; Culicidae. The record is from RefSeq and is a predicted model, not a curated record. The transcript has 3 exons.
AAUCAAGAAUUACAGGACAGUGAAUGUUUUUGUGGCUGCCUUCGGUUGAUUUUUGGUUUUUCGGUCUGGGGGAAGCGAAAUACUAUCUUCCGGAAGGAACUUUCACGAAUCUGUCGGUUGCGGCCGGAAAGUGCAAGAUUUCGGUUCCUCCAGACCGGAAAAUCAAGAAUUACAGGACAGUGAAUGUUUUUGUGGCCGCCUCCGGUUGAUUUCUUGGUUUUUCGGUCUGGGGGAAGCGAAAUACUAUCUUCCGGAAGCAAAUUUCACGAAUCUGUCGGUUGCGGCCGGAAAGUGCAAGAUUUCGGUUCCCCCAAACCGGAAAAUAAAGAAUUACAGGCCAGUGAAUGUUUUUGUGGCCGCCUUCGGUUGAUUUCUUGGUUCUUCCCCCAAACCCGAGAACCAAGAAUAUAACUGAAUCCGGCCACCAAAGUGUCCACCGGCCAUGAAUUCUUCGUAAUACGGUUUGGGGAAAAGGGAAUCUUGAGUUUCGCGAUCUUGGCCGGCAGAUUUUAAAGGGUCCUUACCGGAAGGUACAAUUCCGCUUUUCCCAAACCAGGGAAUUAAGAAUUUUACCGGAACCGGUUACACAAAUGUCCACCGGCCACGAAUUUCUCCUUAUCCAGUUAGGGGAAGCAGAAUCUUGCGUUUCCUGAUCUUGGACAGUAGAUUUCUAAGAAUCCUUGCCGCAAGGUACAAUUCCGCUUCCCCCAAACCGAUGAACCAAGAAUUUAACCGAAUCCUGCCUCCAAAGUGUUCACCGACCACGAAUUUUUCGUAAUCCGGUUUGGUGGAAAGGGACACUUGCGUUUCGCGAUCUUGGCCGACAGAUUUUUAAGAACCCUUUCCGGAAGGUACAAUUCCGCUUUCCCCAAACCGGGGAACUAAGAAUUUUACCGGAACCGGUUACAAAAGUAUCCACCGGUCACGAAUUCUUCAUUAUCCGGUUUGGGGAAAGCGAAAUUGUACCUUCCGGAAAGGGUUCUUAAAUAUCUGUCGGCCAAGAUUGGAAACGCGAGCUUCCGCUUCCCCUAAACCGGAUUACGUAAAAUUUGAGGCUGGUGGACACUUUAGUGACCGGUUCCGGUUAAUUUCAGUUCUUCGAUUUGGGGGAAAGUGGAUAAGGCAAGCGCAAGAUACCGCUUCCCCCAAACCAGAUAACCAAGACUUUUCGGACAUGAUCGGAUUCGGUUGAAUUAUUGGUCCUCCGGUUGGAAUUCUUAUUUCUGUCAGGAGUAUUCAGGAGAUCGAUUUUUAAAAUAUAACUAACAUAUUCUUUUUCUUAUUUCAUCAGACGACCCGGUCCAGAUCUAUUGAUGUCAAUCGUACAGGUGAACUUAGCACGUUCGCAAUUCAACCCAGACGCUUGCUGCUGGUGUAACCCGAGGAUGCGGAAACGGUGUUCUUACGGCAGAUGGUUUGCGAGAAGCAGGCGACCGAGCAGUGUUUGAACCGGAAUUAAAAACCGGCGAGUAAGACGAAGAGGACAUUGAGAACAAAAAACAAGGAGCCCGAAGACGAGGAUCAAGAGCAGCUACCAGAAACUUAGAACCAGAGAGAGGAGACAAACGCGAAAGCGACGAAUACGACGAAGAACCAUUCCGGAAGUUGCUCGUCCCGCUCGCGAUUCAGGGUUGGCUCCAAACGCAGCAGCUGAUCUGGGAGUCUGGUAGCUUGGUAAGUACCCAUCAAACAUUCUCAACCAUCAACCACUCAUCUUCAUUUUAUUCGUAGCGGAACCUUCCCGGAAUGUCUACCAUGUACUGACCGAAUAAUCAACAAAUGAUGUUCAACGGAAGUGCCAACUCCUGCAUAGAUGAAGGCCCUGGCACAGUAGGUGGCCUUGAGUCUGGUGAGCACUCUGGUGGAAUUCAUCCACCGAAGAUCCAGGAACAGGUUCCGGUAACGGUGGUUGUCGCGGUCACUCCACCUCAACCAAUAUCGACAAGUAGCCUCUCUCUUCUUCAUGAAGGGUGCUGACGUGCUGUCGCAAUCACUUGCGCACCCGCAACCCCACUCAACCUAGUUGACUCAUGGACGAUCCGUGCAACUCCGGUUCCGGAGAAUGAUGCUUCCAAACGCGCCGCCACUCUAACAUCCCCGAAUCGAACGUCACCGCAAAUAACAGGAUGCCCAACUCCAAUGAAACAAAGUCGAUGAACAGUGCGCAGCAGCAAAAGCAACAGAUCACGAACGCAAUGAAAAACUUUUUAAUUCGUACGCUAGCAGAAUUAGGACACAGAAUACGAUGCUGGAGCAGACGUCGGAGUAGUCGAGCUUCGAUGCAGCUAGCCGUGGACAGGAUUUCAGCAGGGCAAACCGAAGGUCGCCCAGUCGCUUGUGGAGAUCAACAGUGGCAGAGCCGACGAAUUCUGUGAUUGUUCGCAACCAUUACGUGAAGCGUUCCGAAGCGAACCGAACCGGAUGUUGAUUGUCCUGCUGAUGGCGCUAAUCACCUUGUUUCAUAAGCCGCCAGUUGUGCCAGCUAGCGCAGCAGCCACUCCGUAAGACGCUUUCGGCCAUGCUUCAGUUCACGCUGUCAUUCCAGGUCGAGUUUAUUAUUUGGAUUUGUUCCUCGAUCUGCUCGCAGGCCCCAAACCGGGAAAAAAAUGUUCGGCUGAACGAUUCCUGCGUAACCUCCGUGACCUAAAGUACAAAAAUGUACAAACUUGACUAUUCUGCCGAACCGACGGCACCGCGGCGUGAUCCUGGACGAGCUGCUGACCAUGAAGUGAAGACCGACAUUCGCGACGUUCCGGAGAUGGUUCCACCGUUUGUAUCUACGACGACAACUGGACCAUAAGGCAGUCCGCUGCCGAAGAGCGUGUACAGCGAGCAGCAGGUUGAACAGACUUUCCGGUGGCUCGAAUUGAUUUGAAUUAAAUUUAUUGUGAAUAUAUAAUUUGGAAAUAAAUAAACUUGUUUUUCAAUCUAAUAGUUCAAUCGAAAUUUAAUUUCUCUUAAUAAGAAUCCCAAAUAAAAUCUGAAAACGCCCAAAUAUAGGCAAUAGGCAAUUUUCACCCGGUGAAACAUUUCAAUUUCGAUUUUACACGAAAUCCAGUUCGACCCCUGUUACACGAAAGUAUGUAAUCGUACCUGAACUGAAUUUCGUGUAAUCGAAC